This 1286-nucleotide long non-coding RNA is filed under the name Felis catus (domestic cat). RNAcentral describes it as "lncRNA (ENSFCAG00000051067.1)". Lineage: Eukaryota; Metazoa; Chordata; Mammalia; Carnivora; Felidae. The record is from RNAcentral.
AUGGGCCGGCGUGGGGAAGGCUGGGUCCUCGCCAGCAGCCUGGCCCCCCGCCUCAUCCGGCAGCACCCACUACAAGCUCAAGGGCCACCUUCUCCCUUUCCUCUUUUUCACUUGCCAAAACCCUGGGCAGGGACCGCCAGCCCAACCUCAGCGGCAGCCGCACAGUGGGAACUUCAGCCAAAUAUCUGCAACAAACACUUUCGGUUAUACAUACAUACAUACAUUCAUUCAUUCAUUCAUUCAUUCAUUCAACUUGAAUUUCAUCGAAGCACAGGUAGGCUUUGGGAGGUGUGGAAAUGGCAGAUUCAGCCAACGAUCGCUUCGGCCGGCCAGCCAUCUAACAGCUGUGCCGCUUACCGAUUUAUUGCCUCACAGCUCCAAAUUCAUCCUUCAGUACCUGUUGGUAAGGGAUAGAAUUCCUUGAAAUCAUUUCUUCUUGAGAGCGUUAAGCACAGUGAAGUUUUCUCAGUAGAUGGUGCUGCGGAUUCCGGUGGCCGCACCACAGGUGACAGGACAUUCGGGGGCACCCUGCCGCAGCCACACACCCAGAAUGCAAGCUUCUUCAGUCACCUCACCGCCUCCGCCUCUGUCUGGCAAUCACUUUCCACAAGGCCCAAAGCGCCACCCUCCCCCCCCCCCCCAACCAUGUUGAUGUCCCGACUCCCUGGGUACCCUCGAUUGUCCCGCCACUAGCUGUGGCUCACCUGCAGUUGUUCCCUGCUUCCCUGGCCACACUGGCUCUGGCCUGUGCAACCCAGCACAUUUCUCUGCCAUCCAGUAGACUGCAACCGUGCCUUUUCCAGUAAGAUCUGAACCUCAGCUUUGGGGAGAUGCCCUCUCUUCCAAGUCUCUCUUUGGAUACUCUCCCUCAGCUCUAGGAUACCAUAUUGACUUGUCCUAUCUAUUAUCUUUUACUUUUAUUAUACCUCAGUAUCUUUUUUUCCCCCCAGCCUCAUGAUCAAGAGUCGCAUGCUGUACUGACUGAAACAGCCAGGCCUCCCUUGAUAUUCUUUAUAUUACAUUUUCCCUGCUUAAAUACUUGUGCGGUUUCUUCGGUGUAUUUGUUUAAAAAAAUUAAAAAAAAAAAAAUGUCGAGGCCGAGGGGCACCUGGGUGACUCAGUCGGUUCAGCGUCCGACUUCAGCUCAGGUCACGAUCUCGCGGUCCGUGAGUUGGAGCCCCGUGUCGGGCUCUGGGCUGAUGGCUCAGAGCCUGGAGCCUGCUUCAGAUUCUGUCUCUCUCUGUCUCAAAAAUAAAUAAAGGUUAAAAAAAAAAUGUCGAGGCCGA